This 767-nucleotide long non-coding RNA is filed under the name Neodiprion lecontei (redheaded pine sawfly). RNAcentral's name for it is "uncharacterized LOC124294825, transcript variant X1". The record is from RNAcentral. Lineage: Eukaryota; Metazoa; Arthropoda; Insecta; Hymenoptera; Diprionidae.
GUUUCAGAGCUUUAAUAUACGAGAAGCGAUGAUGCGAAAAGUCGAGAAUCGCGACCCGCGCUCUGCAGUUUCGUUGCAAUAAUUAUAAGCGUUUUCGGCGAAACAGUAGAAACUGGAUUUCGCGAGUGCCGAGUUCCAAAAAUUAAAAUUCACCGCGCAGAAACAGAAGCGUUUCCCUUCUUCUCUUACCGGGAAGAAACUGAAUUCCAGGAAUAAAUCUCUGAUUCGGAUUCUUUGCACAAUUUGCAGAGAAAUGGACAAUGACUUGGUUCAAAGAACCAUCUUCUUUAUUUCGAGAGAAUUAGAGACGAGGAAGAGGAAUGACUUUAACUUUGUGCAGCGCACGAGCGACUCGGUACAACCGGAAGUGUAAAGUGAUUCCGGUAAUUCUGGUGGUAGAAGGGGAGUUAAAGUGGAGGGCAGCUCUCUCCAUCUCUUUACGGUUCCUCUUCGCCUGCUCCGCCGCACAACCGUAAUUAUUAUCAUCGUCAUCAUCACCAUGAUCAUCAUCAUCGUCAUCAUCAUCACCGUGAUGAUAGGAGGGCGCCCGCGCGAUCCUGGUCGUCCAUUGAUAUUAAUGUCGUUAUAACAACGAGAUAAUGGAUAUGGGUAAUAUAUACGGCACGAGCCGCUCGAUUAUACAAUUCAAUGCCAAUACAAACAAUUCUGCGCCAUCGUGUGAAAAAUCAUUGCGGUAGAAAUCGAGGAUAUCGAUUCAAAUAACUUGAAAUAAUUCUGAGGUAAUAUCUUUAGUUAUAAUAUUUCGA